Molecule: ribosomal RNA, 250 nt
Filed under: uncultured bacterium
Lineage: Bacteria
Description: partial 16S ribosomal RNA
Rfam family: Bacterial small subunit ribosomal RNA
Source: RNAcentral
UACGUAGGGGGCAAGCGUUAUCCGGAUUUACUGGGUGUAAAGGGAGCGUAGACGGCAAGACAAGCCAGAUGUGAAAGGCGGGGGCUCAACCCCUGGACUGCAUUUGGAACUGCCUAGCUAGAGUGUCGGAGAGGUAAGUGGAAUUCCUAGUGUAGCGGUGAAAUGCGUAGAUAUUAGGAGGAACACCAGUGGCGAAGGCGGCUUACUGGACGACAACUGACGUUGAGGCUCGAAAGCGUGGGGAGCAAAC